CAGCCCCCAGCUCCAGCACCUCCCACCCUGCACCCCCGGACACCCCCGGCCCCACAGCGGGCCCCCCAUGAAGGUAAGGACCCGACCCUAGGGGCUGAGCACCUCGGCGAGGGGGGACGCCGAGCGGUGCGCCUCGCUUCUCCAUGGUGCUGGGUUGGUUUUUUUUUUUGGGGGGGGGAUCCCCGUGGGGUUGGGGUUUUGGGGUUGGAGUGGGGGGGUCCCUGCGGUGCUGGCACCGUUCCCCAGCCCCUUCCCCAGCAGGACGAGGUGGAGCUGCUGGGUCAGGACGGGCACAUCUACAAGGGCCGGCGGGACCUGCGGCUGCCUGCGCUGGUGGGGAAGGACGGCACCCCCAGACCCCAGGAGUCACCCCACGGCCGCGUCCCCCAAGGACCGGGGCUCCCCUCGCCCCCGUGGGCGCCGCGGGAUGGGAGAGAGACCCCAAGAGCGGAGAGGGGCCGGGGGGGCUCGGCUGGGAGCCCCCCCUGGGCACCACACGGGGGGGUCGGGCAGGAGCAAUAAAGGGCGGUGGAUGGGCAGCUAGGAGCGAGGUUGGUUUGGCCGUCACGUCCCUGCUGCGGGAUCACGGGGGGCUCGUUCCCUGCUGCGGGGCUGCCUCCAUCCCCGCGGCCCUAUAUCCGUGCCCCUCCACGUCCUUACAUCCCAAAUCCUUCCAUCCUUUCCACCCUACAUCCUACAGCCCUUUGUCCUCGCAUCCCUACAUCCUCACCUCCUUAAAUCCUUAAAUCCACCCAUCCCCACCUCCUCACAUCCUUAUAUCCUACAUCCUUUCCUCCCUACACCCUUCCAUCCCUAUUUCCCUACACCCCAACCCACACCCCCAGCCCCCCCUACACGCGCCCCCAUCACCUCUGGCUGCGUUUUUCUGCUUGGGGUGGCACCCCCCCGGCCAUCCCAGGUUAUGGGAAUGCCACCAAAAUCCCCAAAUCCUUUGUGCAGAGAGGGGCCAGACCCCACAGCAGCCACGUGGGGUUUCUUUACCCACGGGGUGUUUUAUGGGGCCGGGUUUAUUGCUGCGGUGCCGGUGGUUCCCCACCUCGAGGUGCUGGCUCGGGGGGGUGCUUUGGGUCCCCCUCUUUUAGGGUCACCUCUCCCGUGCCCAGAAACCACGGGGGGAUCCCCUGUGUUAUCCUGGGUGUCCCCUCCUCCUUUGGCCCCACACAGCCCCCCUCUUGGUGCGUUGUCCCAAUGGGUUUGGUCUUUAGGGGGGGGGAAAUAGGGGCUAAAAUCCUGCUUUUGGGGGGGUCCCCACGGGCAGAGCACCCCAGGGCCCUACCCCAGUGGGUCUGGGGUCCCCCGGUGCCACCUCUGGGGCCAAAAUGGGGAAAACCCAGAGAAAAGCAGCCAGCAAAGGGCAGCCCUGACCCUAAUCCCGUUUGUGGGACGAGGCCCAGCUGGGCUCCGGGCUCACCCACCCCAUACACACACAGUGGGACCCAGCUGCGCCUCCCAGUUCCCCCAUAAACCCCAGCACCCGGGGGGGGCCCUCCUUUAGCCAUGGGUGCUGCCGGCUCUGGAGCGGGUGAGUGGCCCCAGUGGGGGCUUUUUUUUUUUUCUUCCCCUUUUUUUGUCUUUGGGGUCCCCAUCCCAGCUGGUGCGUCCCUAUAGGAUCGGGGCUGCGUGCCCCAGCCCUUGCUGGUGUCCCCCAGGGGGUCCCCAAAGAGCCCUUGGGGUGCUGGCAGGGGUCUGGCUGUGUCUGCGAGAGGGGAUGUUUGGGAAACCCCAUCCUGAGAGUGGGGUUUGCCUAAAAACACUGGGAACAGCAGGAAAACCCAGCGGUGCCAGCCCCGAUCCCCAGCUUUUGGGGACAGCGGUCACAGGGACACGUGCUGGCUCCGGAUGGCACCGAUCCCACAGCGCCUGGUGGGGCUGGGAGACCCCCGGGAGAUCCCCCAGGAACCAGACCCUACAGGGACAGGAUCCCCCAGAGAUCAGAUCCUACAGGGACCAGCCCCCAUGGGUGUCCCCAAGUCCCCCCUGGGUGUCCCCAAAUCCCCAAGGUCACCCCCUCGUAGCACAGAGAGAGGUCGGGGACAGCUGCUGUUAAAAAACUGAUUUUUUUUUUUUUAUUAUUUUUAAAUUAAUAAAAAACCUUCAACCUGUUUUCCUUUUUUUUUU
This 2139-nucleotide long non-coding RNA is filed under the name Anas platyrhynchos platyrhynchos (common mallard). RNAcentral describes it as "lncRNA (ENSAPLG00000028090.1)". Lineage: Eukaryota; Metazoa; Chordata; Aves; Anseriformes; Anatidae. The record is from RNAcentral.